UCCAAUGUGGCCCAAUUUCAAUUGUGUUUAUAAUUAUAUUACUCAUGUACUAUUUCAAUUUUUCAAUUUUUUUUUAUGUGUUAUGAUUUUUUUUAAAGAUUAAGCUAUUCGGUUUAAUAACUAUAUAGUUUUAUCAUAGAGACCGGUUCAUUCCACCGAUUUAAUCCGGUUUAAUUCGGUUUAUCAUGCGGUUCGACCAGUGACCCGGUGGUUCGACCAAUGAACCAGUGAACCAGUACCAUCAUCGGUUCGAUGUCCAAUCCGGUUUUUAAAACA
This 276-nucleotide long non-coding RNA is filed under the name Trifolium pratense (red clover). RNAcentral describes it as "long non-coding RNA (TPRA_LNC007804)". Lineage: Eukaryota; Viridiplantae; Streptophyta; Magnoliopsida; Fabales; Fabaceae. The record is from RNAcentral.